RNAcentral lists this ribosomal RNA (441 nucleotides) under uncultured bacterium. Its description in RNAcentral is "partial 16S ribosomal RNA". It matches the Rfam family "Bacterial small subunit ribosomal RNA", at positions 338 to 795 of the family's 1533-position model. The record is from RNAcentral.
CCUACGGGUGGCAGCAGUGGGGAAUAUUGGGCAAUGGGCGCAAGCCUGACCCAGCAACGCCGCGUGAAGGAUGAAGGUUUUCGGAUUGUAAACUUCUGUUGCGAGGGACGAAGAAUGACGGUACCUUGUAAGAAAGCCCCGGCCAACUACGUGCCAGCAGCCGCGGUAAUACGUAGGGGGCAAGCGUUGUCCGGAAUGACUGGGCGUAAAGGGAGUGUUGGCGGCCUUGUAAGUUAGAUGGGAAAUCCUCCGGCUUAACCGUAGAACUGCAUCUGAAACUGGUAGGCUGGAGUGCAGGAGAGGUAAGUGGAAUGCCUAGUGUAGCGGUGGAAUGCGUAGAUAUUAGGAGGAACACCAGGGGCGAAGGCGACUCGCUGGACUGUAACUGACGCUGAGGCUCGAAAGCGUGGGGAGCAAACAGGAUUAGAUACCCGUGUAGUC